RNAcentral lists this ribosomal RNA (500 nucleotides) under uncultured bacterium. RNAcentral describes it as "partial 16S ribosomal RNA". It matches the Rfam family "Bacterial small subunit ribosomal RNA", at positions 30 to 523 of the family's 1533-position model. The record is from RNAcentral.
AUUGAACGCUGGCGGCAGGCCUAACACAUGCAAGUCGAGCGGAUGAAGGGAGCUUGCUCCCUGAUUUAGCGGCGGACGGGUGAGUAAUGCCUAGGAAUCUGCCUGGUAGUGGGGGACAACGUUUCGAAAGGAACGCUAAUACCGCAUACGUCCUACGGGAGAAAGUGGGGGAUCUUCGGACCUCACGCUAUCAGAUGAGCCUAGGUCGGAUUAGCUAGUUGGUGAGGUAAAGGCUCACCAAGGCGACGAUCCGUAACUGGUCUGAGAGGAUGAUCAGUCACACUGGAACUGAGACACGGUCCAGACUCCUACGGGAGGCAGCAGUGGGGAAUAUUGGACAAUGGGCGAAAGCCUGAUCCAGCCAUGCCGCGUGUGUGAAGAAGGUCUUCGGAUUGUAAAGCACUUUAAGUUGGGAGGAAGGGCAGUAAGUUAAUACCUUGCUGUUUUGACGUUACCAACAGAAUAAGCACCGGCUAACUUCGUGCCAGCCGCCGCCGUAA